GACGAACGCUGGCGGCGUGCUUAACACAUGCAAGUCGAGCGGAAAGGCCCUGCUUUUGUGGGGUGCUCGAGUGGCGAACGGGUGAGUAACACAUGAGUAACCUGCCCUUGACUUUGGGAUAACUUCAGGAAACUGGGGCUAAUACCCGAUAGGAGCUCCUGCUGCAUGGUGGUGGUUGGAGAGUUUCGGCGGUUGGAGAUGGAAUCGCGGCUUAUCAGCUUGUUUGUGUGGUAGUUGCUUACCAGGGGUUUGACGGGUAGCCCGCCUGGGAGCGGGACCGGCCACAUGGGGCCUGCGGUAGGCAGCAGUCUGCUAUGGUAGGCAGUAGGCGAGAGUCUGGCACAACGGGCCGACGCCUGAGGUAGCAGCGUCGCGAGCGGGAUGCCGUCCUUUUGGUGGUAAACAGCUGUCGCCUGUGACGAAGCGUGAGUGACGGUACCUGGUAAAGAAGCACCGGCUAACUACGUG
This 468-nucleotide ribosomal RNA is filed under the name uncultured bacterium. RNAcentral describes it as "partial 16S ribosomal RNA". It matches the Rfam family "Bacterial small subunit ribosomal RNA", at positions 28 to 507 of the family's 1533-position model. The record is from RNAcentral.